AAACGUUCUCAGUUUCAGUUAACACUAUUCAGGCUAGAAACAGCAUCCCAACCUCAUCUCCACCAGCAGGUCCAGAGGCUGCCUCCUCCUGGAGCUGUCUCAGUAUCUGUUGGAACGCUGACAAGCAGACAGUAAGACACGCCCCCGCCAAUCUUGUGUCCUGCUUUACUUCCUCCAAGGUGUUAUAACACAGCACUGUCUCGUUUGCUUUUGUUUUCAUUUUAGUUUUUAUUCCUCAAAAGCAACCUCCUUUCUGAAACACUUUACUCAUCACCACCCCCCACUCUGUUUCAGCAACUCACGAAUCAUUCUGAAGCACUCAGGCACAUGCCUCUUGCCAAAAUUGCUUCUAUAAAAAGGAGCUGGAGAGAGAGCUCAGUGGUGAAGAGCUGCCCUUCCUCGGAGCUGAGUUUGAUUCCCAGCGCUCACCCGUGGCCUCCACUCACCUAUACCUCCAGCUCCAGGAGCUCCAGCAACCCCUUCUGUCCUCCUCGGGUAUUGAACUCACAUGCACAUACAGUCACACACGCACACACGCACACACACACACACACACACGCACACACACACACUUUAAAUAAAAACAAUUCUUUGAAGAAAUAUGGGAUGUCCUCUUUUCCUGUUUAGGGAUUAAAACCCCAAAGGGAUUAGAGAAAAAUUAAAGUCCACCAGAAAUGCGUGUGUACUCUGCCACAUAAGCUAGAAUAGUGUUGAAACCACUCAUCAGUACUCUACAUGCAUGGAAUCACAUGCCCAAAGGAGACUUCCACAGACACCAGGGUGACGGCUCCUGACCACAGGUAGCUCUAACCUCUGACUCCUUAGGAAUAUUUAGUGCACGUUAGAUCACAUAGGGAAGAGACAUGGCAUACUGUUAGAAUCAGGAAGCAGGGGCAGCCUGGGUUUAUGUUAAGAACUCCAUCUGCACUCUGUUUCUGUUUGCUUUCCUGACAUUUCCUGGUAUUAGCUAAAGGAAACUGGGCGGUGUGAAUUUUGUGAGAAGCACAGACCCUGAAGGGCUGUGUUCACUCUGGCGUUGGGAUGAUGGUGUCCGGUCCAAGGACAUCCACUGAGUGUGGCUGCUGAUGUUAUGGUCAUGUUCACAGUCAUGAAGCUGAGACUUCACAUUGGGAAUCACAAGCACCCACUUUCCAAAGCAGAGACUCUGUUGAUGUUGUAAAGGCACCUAAAUACCUCAACUCUCUGGGCUGAGAAAGGAGCUGCAGGCUUUUAAGAGGGCGGCUAAUGUACUCACUCCACAAAGUCACGCCAUCCAAACCCGACAUGCUAGAUUUUUCUCACUGUGGAAAAGUAACACAACCAUUCAAUUCUUAUCCCAAAGUUAUAAUACAAUCUGUAGAUUUCACUAACUUGGUUCCGUUUCGUUUGGUCCUUACAAAGUAUAACUUGCAUUUGCAGAUGGUAAUUUCUGGUGUGUUCUCUGCUACUCUUUUUUUUUCUUUCCUGUAUGAAAUUGCUGUAUUGUUAACGUGUGUUCGUUUUGUGGUUUCUAACUCCCAUUGGUGCACUAUACAAUGGGGUGGGUCUUGUAAAUGUACCAUG
Molecule: long non-coding RNA, 1563 nt
Filed under: Rattus norvegicus (Norway rat)
Lineage: Eukaryota; Metazoa; Chordata; Mammalia; Rodentia; Muridae
Description: long non-coding RNA NONRATT015201
Source: RNAcentral